RNAcentral lists this ribosomal RNA (265 nucleotides) under Haemophilus influenzae. RNAcentral describes it as "partial 23S ribosomal RNA". It matches the Rfam family "Bacterial large subunit ribosomal RNA", at positions 799 to 1062 of the family's 2925-position model. Lineage: Bacteria; Pseudomonadati; Pseudomonadota; Gammaproteobacteria; Pasteurellales; Pasteurellaceae. The record is from RNAcentral.
AGCGGAUGACUUGUGGCUGGGGGUGAAAGGCCAAUCAAACCGGGAGAUAGCUGGUUCUCCCCGAAAUCUAUUUAGGUAGAGCCUUGAGGUGACACCUUUGGGGGUAGAGCACUGUUUCGGCUAGGGGUCCAUCCCGGAUUACCAACCCGAUGCAAACUACGAAUACCAAAGAGUGAUACUCAGGAGACACACGGCGGGUGCUAACGUCCGUCGUGGAGAGGGAAACAACCCAGACCGCCAGCUAAGGUCCCCAAGUCUAUAUUAA